CGCCGCCCCGCGCCGCUGCCGUCGCCGCCGCCGCCGCGUUCACUGGCUGUCCGGGUGCGGGCGCCGGGCUCCCGCGGGAGGAGGGCAUAGCCGGCGCCGCCCCGGCCCGGGCCCCGGCCCCUGUCCCGCCCCGGGCCCCGGCCAGAGCCCCCCGCCCGGCCCGGCCAUGAAGUGUCACUACGAGGCGCUGGGGGUGCGGCGCGACGCCAGCGAGGAGGAGCUCAAAAAGGCCUAUCGGAAGCUGGCCCUGAAAUGGCACCCGGAUAAAAACAUGGAUAAUGUUGCAGAAGCAGCCGAACAAUUUAAAUUAAUCCAAGCAGCAUACGAUGUGUUAAGUGACCCUCAGGAAAGAGCGUGGUAUGACAAUCAUAGAGAGGCCUUACUUAAAGGAGGACUUGAUGGAGAAUAUCAAGAUGACAGCUUAGAUUUGCUUCACUAUUUCACUGUUACCUGUUACUCUGGUUAUGGGGAUGAUGAAAAGGGCUUUUACAGCGUGUAUCGUAAUGUUUUUGAAAUGAUUGCAAGGGAAGAAUUAGAAUCUGCACUAGAGGAUGAUAUUGAGGAUUUUCCAACUUUCGGAGACUCCCAGAGUGAUUAUGAUACGGUAGUCCAUCCUUUCUAUGCAUAUUGGCAGAGUUUCUGUACUCAAAAGAACUUCGCCUGGAAGGAAGAAUACGAUACCCGGCAAGCUUCCAAUCGCUGGGAGAAACGAGCCAUGGAAAAGGAAAACAAAAAAAUUCGAGACAAAGCCAGGAAAGAGAAAAAUGAACUUGUGCGUCAGCUGGUAGCUUUUAUUCGUAAAAGAGAUAAGAGAGUGCAGGCUCAUCGGAAGCUUGUAGAGGAACAGAAUGCUGAGAAGGCCAGGAAGGCCGAGGAGAUGAGGCGGCGGCAGAAGCUCAAGCAGGCCAAACUGGCGGAGCAGUACAAAGAACAGAGCUGGAUGACUAUGGCCAACAUGGAAAAGGAGCUCCAGGAGAUGGAGGCACAGUAUGAAAAGGAGUUUGGAGAUGGAUCAGAUGAAAAUGAAGUGGAGGAACAUGAGCUCAAACAUGGACAGGACGAUAAAGACAAUGAUGAAGCCGAGGACGUUGAGUUUUAUGAUGAUCUUUACUGCCCAGCAUGUGACAAAUCUUUCAAAACAGAAAAGGCCAUAAAGAAUCAUGAAAAGUCAAAGAAACACCGGGAGAUGGUUGCCUUGUUGAAACAACAGUUGGAGGAGGAGGAAGAGAAUUUUUCAGGAUCUCAAGUGGAUGAAAAUCUAUUGAAUGUCAAUUCUGAGGAAGAAAUGGAAGAUGUACCAAAACAAAAGCUUUCUAAAAAACAGAAGAAAAAGAAACAGAAGCCAGUGCAGAAUUAUGAUGACAGUUUCAAUGAAAGUGGAAUUGGAGAAGAAGAAAAGGUUGACCCAGAAGAUACUAACUUUAAUCAAGACAAUGCCAAAGAAUUAGAAGAUAGUCUUCUAGAAGAUGUCAGUGUCACAGAGACUGUCGAACCCUGUGAUGGUCCAAAAAGUGAAGCUAAGAGUAUUCUCAAACCCAAAGAAAAGAAAACCAAAGAUACGAAAAAAUCUGUCAAAGUAUCUGCUGAACCACAAAUCCAGAGUGAUGUUAUCAGCUGUACAACCUGCCAUAGUGAGUUUCCAUCCCGGAAUAAACUUUUUGACCAUCUCAAGGCUACAGGUCAUGCAAAAGCACCUCCACCGUCAUCUGUAAACAGUGUAACCAGUAGUCGAAGCAAGAAAGAAAAACGUAAAAACAGAUAGAAAUUCUGCCAACAUUUGUUUUCUUACUGUGUCGAGAUUUCGAAACCAAAAACUGAACUGAAAUCAUCUAGAGUUAAAAUUUCAGUGAUUUGCAAUUUAUUGCAUUGUGGAAGAUUAUUUUUUAUCUUAUAAAGACACAUUUUGUUUAAUAUAUAUUUUUUAAACAUUUCACUAGUGAUUGAAUUCUACUUUUGCCAUCUGAAUUGACUUGAAUGUCUCAAAACAGGGCCAAUACUAGCCAGGUUUUCAUCUUCUGCUCUCAUCCUCCUGGGCUUCAUCUGAACAUUCUGUGCCUUCCUCUGUUUUGAACAAGAUGAGUGUUCAUAAGUAUGAAUAGGAAUACUAUGAACAGAAUCACAUACACAAUUUGUUAUAUGAAAAAAAUGAAGUCAUCUUAGAGGACAGAGAAUGUCCUGUAAAUGUCUUUCAGACUUAUUUUGAUUUCCCUUGUACUGACCAUGCAGGUGUUUGAUUUCUUUCUGCUUCUUAUGAACACUGAUUGGAGUUACUUUUUACUUCUAUUCAGACUGACCCCCCCCAAAAAAAAAAUCAGCCGUAAUUUUCAAAGGAUCUUUAUCUUAUGAUUCGAAGUCAACUUAUUUUUAAUUCUGCAUGAUUUUGAAAAGUCUUCUCACUUCUCAGAACUUCAUUUUAUUCAUCUCUGCCACAGUGCUUAGCAUAGUAGUGUUGUCUCCACUUAUAGAGGAUCAUUAUGAGGGGGAAGUAAAAUAAUAUAUAUUUAAGUGCUUUUAAACAAAGGCUUUAUAAGAAAUAUUUCUGAAUUUGAAUGAAAUAAAUAUUUUUAUUUGAAAUAUUUGCAGAUAGAGGUAGGCAUAGUCAGUGAAAUGUAUAUUAUAUUUUAAAGGAAAAUGCUUCCUAAGUCUACUUCUGAAGAAGAAAACUAAUGUGUAUUAUGCCAAGGGUAAAAUAAUAUUUUUGAUGAGUCACAGACGUUUAUCUGUGGCAAGUUAAUUUUUUAAAAUACAUAACCAUAUUUACAUUGAUGUUAUUAAAGGUCAGCGGUCUUAAUUGAAGUUACUUUGAGUGUGAAGACAUGUGGAUUGAAGACUGCAGGAGGAGAAGUUUGGGAAAAUCCCUUCUUCCUAUAAUUCUUUUAGUAGUUCAGAAGUGGGAAAUUCUCUAUAAAACCCACUGGCACCUUCCCUAUUUCAAAAUAGGAGUAGUAUUCUCAGCCCCUGCCAAACAUUUUGCUUAUUCCUAACUUUGAUCACAGAGAAAAGCAAAACUAUAUGAAUUAGUGAAAGAUCAGUAACAUUCGAAUGCAUGUUCUAUUGAUUGCUGCUGAGUUAAAGUUGAUAUUUUGGUGCUAUGAGAAAACUUGUAGAAGCUUCAUCAGAAGGUUUCCUUUUUUCUUUUCCUUCUUGAGUCAUCUGCAGAAUUUCCACAUGAAAAACUACUUUAGUAUUUAUUUAAGAUUGUCCCUGAAGUUACUUGAGAGGAAAUGAAAUUCUUACUGUAAGCUAUAGCCAUUUUUGAGUCCUUUAAAACCUUGAGAAUGAUCCAUGCUGUCAUGGUGAUGCUAAUCUUAACUCGCAAUGUAAAACUAUACAGAGGACCUUAAAUAUGCUACUGUUUGUGUGAUACAAAUUCACUUUCCCAUAAUCUGCGAUGCUGAAGCAUCUUUCCUUACUACAGUUAGUCUGUGCCUUAUUGAUUAAACUGUUUUAAUGUUUUCAUACCCAAAUUCUAGGCUUUUGGGGUUGGAGAGGGAAAGUGGAGGCGAUUACCGCAUGUCUGUCUUCAUAGAUGGGGAAACUGAGCUCAGGGAGAUAGGAACUUCACAGAAAGGGCUGGUUAGGGCCUGCUCCUAUGAUGGGAACAUGGUAGCUUGCAGACUUAACUUGGUAGUUUUUCUGACACUCCAAAAUCUGUUAACUGGAGUUGGGGGGAGGAUUAUUUUAAUUCAUAUCUAAGUAAUUUUGGAAAACAAGAGUGAGCACCAGUCCUGUCAGUAUCCAAUAAUACUGGAAAUUUGUAACACAGCAGUAUGUGAUGGUGCCAGUAUAGGCCAGUAGAUACAUAUACAAAUUACAGGGCUGACAAUAGAUAGGCCUGUGUGUAUGUGGAAACUCAAAUUUUUGCCGGAUUGUGACGUUACCUUUAAGGUGAAAACAUAUAUUAUCCUACACUGUUCCCUGAAACUGCAUGGAUUAAAGAACUACACAUGAAAAGCCAAACUUUUAAAUAUGAAUCUAUAAAAUUCAUGGUUUUGCAGAAGGGCAGAAUUUGUUUACAAUGAGAGUUUAAAGCACAAGCCUUAUAGGAAAUAGGACUGUAUCAUACUUAAGACUUCUGUAGUACAACAGGCACCCAUAAGUAAGAAGCAUGAUGAAAACUGGGAGGAAAUGUUUACUGGUGUAUGUAUGACAAAAGAUUCUCAUCCAAAAUAUAUUGAAAAACAGACAAAAGAGUCUUUCAAAUCAAUGAGAAAAGUGGUAUCUGUGUAUUAGGACAGCAAUUCACAAGUCAUGGGAUCCCAAACCUCUUUACAGUUUCAAGCUUUGAGAACCCAAGAGUUUUUGUGUAUGUGAAUCACAUCUUCUGGUGUUUGCUAUGUUGGAAUUAUAACUGAGAAAAUUUAAAGUAUUAGUAAAAUGCUAACUAUCAAUUAUGAAAAAUAAAAACUUCAGUGAGAGGAA
Cavia porcellus (domestic guinea pig) is the source of this 4422-nucleotide RNA transcript. It is a transcript of the gene named DnaJ heat shock protein family (Hsp40) member C21, with no coding region annotated. The transcript is spliced from 13 exons. The record is from RefSeq and is a predicted model, not a curated record. NCBI's taxonomy places the organism in Eukaryota, Metazoa, Chordata, Mammalia, Rodentia, Caviidae.